Molecule: ribosomal RNA, 490 nt
Filed under: uncultured bacterium
Lineage: Bacteria
Description: bacterial SSU rRNA
Rfam family: Bacterial small subunit ribosomal RNA
Source: RNAcentral
AGGCCUAACACAUGCAAGUCGAGCGGUAACAGAAAGAAAGCUUGCUUUCUUUGCUGACGAGCGGCGGACGGGUGAGUAAUGCCUGGGAAUAUGCCUUAGUGUGGGGGAUAACUAUUGGAAACGAUAGCUAAUACCGCAUAACGUCCUUGUUCAUUACGAGCGGGACCAAAGAGGGGGACCUUCGGGCCUCUCGCGCUAAGAUUAGCCCAGGUGGGAUUAGCUAGUUGGUGAGGUAAAGGCUCACCAAGGCAACGAUCCCUAGCUGGUCUGAGAGGAUGAUCAGCCACACUGGAACUGAGACACGGUCCAGACUCCUACGGGAGGCAGCAGUGGGGAAUAUUGCACAAUGGGGGAAACCCUGAUGCAGCCAUGCCGCGUGUAUGAAGAAGGCCUUCGGGUUGUAAAGUACUUUCAGUCGUGAGGAAGGCAUUGUAGUUAAUAGCUGCAGUGCUUGACGUUAGCGACAGAAGAAGCACCGGCUAACUCCGUG